This 227-nucleotide ribosomal RNA is filed under the name uncultured bacterium. RNAcentral's name for it is "partial 16S ribosomal RNA". It matches the Rfam family "Bacterial small subunit ribosomal RNA", at positions 524 to 751 of the family's 1533-position model. The record is from RNAcentral.
UACGUAGGGGGCAAGCGUUGUCCGGAAUUAUUGGGCGUAAAGAGCGCGUAGGCGGUCCGGUAAGUCAGCUGUGAAAGUCAAGGGCUCAACCCUUGAAAGCCGGUUGAUACUGUCGGGCUAGAGUCCGGAAGAGGCGAGUGGAAUUCCCAGUGAGCGGUGAAAUGCGCAGAUAUCGGGAGGAACACCAAUGGCGAAGGCAGCUCGCUGGGACGGUACUGACGCUGAGG